AUGGCCUUGGUGCAGAAGUAUGGGAAACCAGAUAUCUUUUUAACCAUGACUUGCAACCCGAAUUGGGAUGAGAUAAUUGGUGCGUUGGAGCCUGGACAAACCCCAUAGGAUCGCCCUGAUCUUGUUGUACGAGUAUUUAGAGCAAAGUUGGAAGACCUCAAGAACCUUUUCAAAAAGCACAUGCUCGGCAAGGUAGCAACAUAUGCAUAUGUUGUCAAGUUCCAGAAAAGGGGUCUACCACAUGCUAAUUUCCUCCUCAUCAUGGAGGGGAGGUACAAGCUAACAUGCCUAGAGCAAUAUGAUUGUAUCAUAUCUGCUGAAUUUCCAGACAAAUUCAAGUACUGUGAGUUGUACAAGAUGGUCGUCAAGCACAUGAUGCAUGGCCCUUGUGCAGUCCUAAACCCCAAAAAUGUGUGCAUGCAGAAUGGUAGUUGCAAGAACUACUAUCCACGGCCAUUUAAUGUGUCAACUCUUCAGGGAAAGGACUCAUAUCCCAUAUACAAGAGGAGAGAUGAUGGACGUCGUGCAAAGGUACAAUGUGAAGAAUUAGACAAUAGGUGA
This 561-nucleotide ribosomal RNA is filed under the name Triticum aestivum (bread wheat). RNAcentral describes it as "partial small subunit ribosomal RNA". The record is from RNAcentral. Lineage: Eukaryota; Viridiplantae; Streptophyta; Magnoliopsida; Poales; Poaceae.